RNAcentral lists this ribosomal RNA (195 nucleotides) under uncultured bacterium. RNAcentral describes it as "partial 16S ribosomal RNA". It matches the Rfam family "Bacterial small subunit ribosomal RNA", at positions 337 to 524 of the family's 1533-position model. The record is from RNAcentral.
UCCUACGGGAGGCAGCAGUGGGGAAUCUUGCGCAAUGGACGAAAGUCUGACGCAGCCACGCCGCGUGAGUGAAGAAGGCCUUCGGGUUGUAAACUGCUUUUGUCAGGGAAGAAAUCCUGUCGGCUAAUACCCGGCGGGGCUGACGGUACCCAAAGAAUAAGCACCGGCUAACUUCGUGCCAGCAGCCGCGGUAAU